Molecule: non-coding RNA, 102 nt
Organism: Lentinula aciculospora
Lineage: Eukaryota; Fungi; Basidiomycota; Agaricomycetes; Agaricales; Omphalotaceae
Source: the annotation of a GenBank genome assembly
GCAUUAAUGGGGUAGUGGUAACCUGGGUCGUUGCCAUAUUAAAGAGGUAUCGGCGUUGAUAUUAAUGUCGACCCGCCGAGGGUUCAAUUCCCUCUUAAUGCA